AUACGGAGGGUGCAAGCGUUAAUCGGAAUUACUGGGCGUAAAGCGUGCGCAGGCGGUUUGUUAAGUCAGAUGUGAAAGCCCCGGGCUCAACCUGGGAACUGCAUUUGAAACUGGCAAACUAGAGUGUGGUAGAGGGAAGUGGAAUUCCUCAUGUAGCGGUGAAAUGCGUAGAUAUGAGGAGGAACACCAGUGGCGAAGGCGACUUCCUGGACCAACGCUGACGCUCAUGUACGAAAGCGUGGGUAGCAAACAGGAUUAGAAACCCCUGUAGUCC
This 274-nucleotide ribosomal RNA is filed under the name uncultured bacterium. Its description in RNAcentral is "partial 16S ribosomal RNA". It matches the Rfam family "Bacterial small subunit ribosomal RNA", at positions 523 to 796 of the family's 1533-position model. The record is from RNAcentral.